RNAcentral lists this ribosomal RNA (253 nucleotides) under uncultured bacterium. RNAcentral describes it as "partial 16S ribosomal RNA". It matches the Rfam family "Bacterial small subunit ribosomal RNA", at positions 524 to 776 of the family's 1533-position model. The record is from RNAcentral.
UACGUAGGGUGCGAGCGUUGUCCGGAAUUAUUGGGCGUAAAGAGCUCGUAGGCGGCUUGUCGCGUCGGAUGUGAAAGACCGGGGCUUAACCCCGGUUCUGCAUUCGAUACGGGCUAGCUAGAGUGUGGUAGGGGAGAUCGGAAUUCCUGGUGUAGCGGUGAAAUGCGCAGAUAUCAGGAGGAACACCGGUGGCGAAGGCGGAUCUCUGGGCCAUUACUGACGCUGAGGAGCGAAAGCGUGGGGAGCGAACAGG